GGGAGAGCAAGUCAUAUAAGAGAACUGUGUCUAGGUUCUUCUAUCUUUGACGAAUUUUUCAGGCAUAUGUUCAAUUUAGUAGCAUCACGUGUCUUUAUGUCCAUUGCACAUUCUAACUCUUAUAAUUGUUUAUCUGGUCAUUUACAUAAUUACAACAAUCCUUUUCACUUUCAACUACCUUUUCAUUUUCGAGUCUUUAUAAUUAUAAGUAUUUGUGAAUAUGAUGUCAACUUAAAAAUUCUUAAAUGUGUUCCAUUACAAAUAUUUUACCUUUCCCAUCAUAAAUUCUUUGGAAGGCAUAUUUGUAUGCUUCUGAAUUAGUCACUCUUUAACUUUGCAUUCUGCUGUCA
Molecule: unclassified non-coding RNA, 350 nt
Filed under: Hevea brasiliensis (rubber tree)
Lineage: Eukaryota; Viridiplantae; Streptophyta; Magnoliopsida; Malpighiales; Euphorbiaceae
Source: RNAcentral